Molecule: ribosomal RNA, 482 nt
Filed under: uncultured bacterium
Lineage: Bacteria
Description: partial 16S ribosomal RNA
Rfam family: Bacterial small subunit ribosomal RNA
Source: RNAcentral
AUUGAACGCUGGCGGCAUGCCUUACACAUGCAAGUCGAACGGUAACGGGCCUUCGGGUGCCGACGAGUGGCGAACGGGCGAGUAAUACAUCGGAACGUGCCCGAUCGUGGGGGAUAACGAGGCGAAAGCUUUGCUAAUACCGCAUACGAUCUACGGAUGACAGCAGGGGACCGCAAGGCCUUGCGCGGACGGAGCGGCCGAUGGCCGAUUAGGUAGUUGGUGGGAUAAAAGCUUACCAAGCCGACGAUCUGUAGCUGGUCUGAGAGGAUGAUCAGCCACACUGGGACUGAGACACGGCCCAGACGCCUACGGGAGGCAGCAGUGGGGAAUUGUGGACAAUGGGCGCAAGCCUGAUCCAGCCAUGCCGCGUGCAGGAUGAAGGCCUUCGGGUUGUAAACUGCUUUUGUACGGAACGAAAAGCCUUCUUUUAAUACAGGAGGGUCAUGACGGUACCGUAAGAAUAAGCACCGGCUAACUACGUG